AACGAACGCUGGCGGCAGGCUUAACACAUGCAAGUCGAACGGGUGCAGCAAUGCAUCAGUGGCAGACGGGUGAGUAACACGUGGGAACCUUCCUAGGGGUACGGAACAACUCAGGGAAACCUGAGCUAAUACCGUAUACGUCCGUAAGGAGAAAGAUUCAUCGCCCCUAGACGGGCCCGCGUCGGAUUAGGUAGUUGGUGGGGUAACGGCCUACCAAGCCUGCGAUCCGUAGCUGAUCNGAGAGGAUGAUCAGCCACACUGGGACUGAGACACGGCCCAGACUCCUACGGGAGGCAGCAGUGGGGAAUCUUGGACAAUGGGCGCAAGCCUGAUCCAGCCAUGCCGCGUGAGUGAAGAAGGCCUUAGGGUUGUAAAGCUCUUUUACCAGGACGAUAAUGACGGUACCUGGAGAAUAAGCCCC
This 421-nucleotide ribosomal RNA is filed under the name uncultured bacterium. RNAcentral's name for it is "bacterial SSU rRNA". It matches the Rfam family "Bacterial small subunit ribosomal RNA", at positions 29 to 494 of the family's 1533-position model. The record is from RNAcentral.